RNAcentral lists this long non-coding RNA (235 nucleotides) under Ananas comosus (pineapple). Its description in RNAcentral is "long non-coding RNA (ACOM_LNC012504)". The record is from RNAcentral. Lineage: Eukaryota; Viridiplantae; Streptophyta; Magnoliopsida; Poales; Bromeliaceae.
UAACUAAAUUAUGGACUAUUUUGACUUGAUUUCCAACUCAAAAUUUUAAUUUAAUUAUCCAGGCUUUCAAUUUGUUUUAUUUGAGUUAAUCAACGAUACUUUGACGCUAAAACAAAAACUAAGGUCAUAUUUGAAUAUCAGAAUAAAUAAUCUCAGUAUGAGAAUAUUUUUGUGUGUCCGCAGGCUAAGAUUUUAAUAUUUUUUUAUUCAUUAAAUAGUUUUAUUUUAUUGUAAA